UACAGAGGGGGCAAGCGUUGUUCGGAAUUACUGGGCGUAAAGGGCGCGUAGGCGGCCUUCUAAGUCGAACGUGAAAUCCCUGGGCUCAACCCAGGAACUGCGUCCGAUACUGGAAGGCUUGAAUCCGGGAGAGGGAUGCGGAAUUCCAGGUGUAGCGGUGAAAUGCGUAGAUAUCUGGAGGAACACCGGUGGCGAAGGCGGCAUCCUGGACCGGUAUUGACGCUGAGGCGCGAAAAGCCAGGGGAGCAAACGGGG
This 255-nucleotide ribosomal RNA is filed under the name uncultured bacterium. RNAcentral's name for it is "partial 16S ribosomal RNA". It matches the Rfam family "Bacterial small subunit ribosomal RNA", at positions 524 to 777 of the family's 1533-position model. The record is from RNAcentral.